Molecule: long non-coding RNA, 287 nt
Filed under: Phoenix dactylifera (date palm)
Lineage: Eukaryota; Viridiplantae; Streptophyta; Magnoliopsida; Arecales; Arecaceae
Description: long non-coding RNA (PDAC_LNC000689)
Source: RNAcentral
AUGGAAAGCAUAGGAGAUGAAAUGAUCAAGAGAUGAAUUCGUUUGGGAAUUUUGGAUUGGUCACAUGAGACUUGGGUCUUGAUGCCUAUAUAUUAAGCUUGGAAAGAUGAAAGGAGUUGCUUGAUUCUAAUGGAAGAGAUGCAUCGAAAGGAAUGAAAGCUGGAAAGCUUUCGCUAUGGAUGAUGGGUUAUAUUUCUCUUUCGACUGGGGAGGAUGGAGGAUGGCUUUUGAGCAGGGGGGAAAGGAAAUUGGCUGAAUUGGUUGUAGCAAAGAAAAUGAGGAGAUUU